CCUACGUGCUGCAGCAGUGGGGAAUAUUGGACAAUGGGCGAAAGCCUGAUCCAGCCAUGCCGCGUGUGUGAAGAAGGCCUUCGGGUUGUAAAGCACUUUCAGUGGGGAAGAAAGCCUUGGGGCUAAUACCCUCGAGGAAGGACAUCACCCACAGAAGAAGCACCGGCUAACUCCGUGCCAGCAGCCGCGGUAAUACGGAGGGUGCGAGCGUUAAUCGGAAUUACUGGGCGUAAAGCGCGCGUAGGCGGUCUGAUAAGCCGGUUGUGAAAGCCCCGGGCUCAACCUGGGAACGGCAUCCGGAACUGUCAGGCUAGAGUGCAGGAGAGGAAGGUAGAAUUCCCGGUGUAGCGGUGAAAUGCGUAGAGAUCGGGAGGAAUACCAGUGGCGAAGGCGGCCUUCUGGACUGACACUGACGCUGAGGUGCGAAAGCGUGGGUAGCAAACAGGAUUAGAUACCCGUGUAGUC
Molecule: ribosomal RNA, 465 nt
Filed under: Vreelandella stevensii
Lineage: Bacteria; Pseudomonadati; Pseudomonadota; Gammaproteobacteria; Oceanospirillales; Halomonadaceae
Description: partial 16S ribosomal RNA
Rfam family: Bacterial small subunit ribosomal RNA
Source: RNAcentral